RNAcentral lists this long non-coding RNA (1108 nucleotides) under Numida meleagris (helmeted guineafowl). Its description in RNAcentral is "lncRNA (ENSNMEG00000023063.1)". The record is from RNAcentral. Lineage: Eukaryota; Metazoa; Chordata; Aves; Galliformes; Numididae.
CAGACAUAAUCAGGAGGCACUUUUGUGCUGUUAGGAAACCAUUUGGAGCUUUCAGAAAGAGAAUUUCAGAGAGAUUCCUCAUUGUCACCGCUAUUUCUCUCUUUCAUGGAUCUCCCUUUAAAUCCCCACCUAACAGCGUUUCAUCAGGGGAAGAAAUACACUUGUAAAGAUCUUACAGAAGUAGAUUUUGCUGAAGCAAAGGGAGGGGAUGAGGCUGAAAUCCUAUUUGGAAGACAGGUGAAAACUGUCAUCAAUCUGUUUCAGUAAUAUGAUUAUUUGAAUGAGUAUCAGGUGGGACUUCCCCAUAAAGAAAAAAAAAAAAAAAGGAAACCCAGGGUAAAAAGAGCUGAAAUUAUAGGAGAAGGAAGAAAGGGGGUGAUGGAGAUAGGGGCUGUGGCACUGGCAAUACAGCUGCUUUUAGGGACUACAAGAAGGAGUGAAAAAUACCACCAAGGGAAUCCAGCCAGGUGGUUAUAAAGUAUGAUAAAAUAGGAUUUAGGGGAACAGCUUGCAGCAUGCCAUGCUGGGAUACAGGAUCUUGUGUUGUCUUGUGAUUGUGAGCCUGGGUCUCCGUUACGAUUGUGCUGCUAUGAGUGCCAGCACUGUGCCUGGAAAGUGGAUCAGCUGAGCCUUGAAUGCUACCUGCUGCUUUUCCCAGUGAGUCUAAAGCCAGCCUACCUCUGUGGAGCUUCACCACUGAGCUCAUACCCAGUACACCGCAUUCAACAUCUCUCAGCCGAAAUCCUCCUAGUCAAGGCAAACUCAAUCAUCUGACAGAGGUCACGAAGCAAACGAGGAAUCGUCCCAACGAUACCAACACAAGGCAUUAAAAGGGAUCGAGAGUUAGUUGAGUAAGUCUGCGAAACAAUUUGCAUUUCAAAUCUCAGGCAAGCAGCUGUGUAAUUUCUGCCUGUAGAUUCACCGCUGCGAUGUUCAUUAUCUGAUUAUCACUACCUACCAACCUUCCAAGCACUAAUGCACAUUGUCUUCUUGGCUCUUGAGUUACUGACAUGUGUCUGACACUGAAUCUGCGAGUAAUUGCUAUGGCUCCCCUCAAUGAAGCAUCUCUGAGGACGCUCUUGGAAAUAAAAUGUUCCUUCUCAAGCCA